This 388-nucleotide ribosomal RNA is filed under the name uncultured bacterium. Its description in RNAcentral is "bacterial SSU rRNA". It matches the Rfam family "Bacterial small subunit ribosomal RNA", at positions 30 to 418 of the family's 1533-position model. The record is from RNAcentral.
AUUGAACGCUGGCGGCAUGCCUUACACAUGCAAGUCGAACGGCAGCACGGGAGCAAUCCUGGUGGCGAGUGGCGAACGGGUGAGUAAUGUAUCGGAACGUACCUUUCAGUGGGGGAUAACGUAGCGAAAGUUACGCUAAUACCGCAUAUUCUGUGAGCAGGAAAGCAGGGGAUCGCAAGACCUUGCGCUGAUUGAGCGGCCGAUAUCAGAUUAGCUAGUUGGUGAGGUAAAGGCUCACCAAGGCGACGAUCUGUAGCGGGUCUGAGAGGAUGAUCCGCCACACUGGAACUGAGACACGGUCCAGACUCCUACGGGAGGCAGCAGUGAGGAAUAUUGGACAAUGGGCGAGAGCCUGAUCCAGCCAUGCCGCGUGAGUGAAGAAGGCCUU